RNAcentral lists this long non-coding RNA (446 nucleotides) under Drosophila guanche. Lineage: Eukaryota; Metazoa; Arthropoda; Insecta; Diptera; Drosophilidae. The record is from RNAcentral.
GUUUUAUAUUACUGCAUUUCAGUUGCCCUUUUUCGUUUUAUUUGCUAAACAUUUUACCAUUUUUCAAGUUUUUAACUACAAUUUGGUUUUACUUUUACAUAUGCUGUGUCUGGGUGUGUAUUUCAGAGUUAAGAGAACGAAAAAGUCAACGCAAAAAGUGGAAUAUUCGUUUAGGAAUUGAGAGUGGAGAAUUGAGAUUCUGUAUUAUAUAUGCGUGUGUACGUGUGUGUGUGUGUGUACUUUAGUUCGGUUGAAUUUCUAUAACUAGGCAUAUUCCAUAUAUGUAUAAACUUUACAGAUAUAUUUAUGUGACGGCCACGCCUUGCAGGCGCUCGACUCGCUCGAUCUAUGAACUAACAACUGUCCGCAUCAGAAUCCAGUGAUCCAAUGCGAUAUUUUAGCUUAAGUUAUUUGCUAGAAAACUAUAUAAUGACCGUACAAAUGAG